Non-coding RNA from Parasteatoda tepidariorum (common house spider), 760 nucleotides. The record is from RefSeq and is a predicted model, not a curated record. Lineage: Eukaryota; Metazoa; Arthropoda; Arachnida; Araneae; Theridiidae.
UAUUUUAUUUUGAUUGUAAGAAAGCGACGGUAUAUAGCAAUGCAAUUUUAUAUAAAUUUAUAUAAAAAAAUAAUCUUUUAAUUUCCAUCUUGGCUUUUUAUGGCUCUUUGUGAAAAUGCGAUUUAACAUGGUUAGGCAUAAUCACUUCACCGCUCGAGUUGCAAGUACCCAAUUGUAGAAAAUCACAAAACACGACAUUUGAAAAGUUUUCUAAAGGUGUCUAAUAAAUUAAAAUUGUGUUGAAAAAUCAGUAAAAUUACAUAAAAUAUCCACAAUUAAAAAUAAUUUUAUUAAAAGAUUAAUUUUAUUUAAAAAUAAUUUUAUUAAUUUUAUUUAAUUUUAUUAUUAUAUUAAUUACGACCCAAAAAAGUUUACAAUCACAACCAACAAAAAUUUGGUGAGUGUUCCUACCACGUCACUUAAGACUAUCAAGGUGGUUACUACGUAAAGUUCUAUCAAGGUGGUUACUACGUAAAGUUCUAUCAAGGUGGUUACUACGUAGAGUUCUAUCAAGGUGGUUACUACGUAAAGUUAUUCCAUUAUAAUGAGAGGUAAAAAAAUAAAUUUUGAGGGUUUUUUGCAGCGAAAAAGAAUUAACAAAUAAAUAAAAAAAAUAAAAAUAAUAAUAAGCGCUUUUAUUUGUAUAUUUCUGCGUUGUCAUUGCUUUUAUGUAACGCUAAAUGUUUUAAUGUUUUUGCUAUUUGUUAUCUUUUCUAAGAACUUUCAUUAUGUUUAUUGAAAAUAAAAAAAAUUCUUUAUA